UAUUAAAACUACGUAAAUGUUAUUUUGUGUUUAUAUAUAAAAUAGAGUUUGGAUCUAAGUUAAGAUAUUUGAAACAGAUUUUUACCAAUAUGAAUGUCUGAUACCUUUAAAAAUUACAUGAGAAAAGCUCAAUUCUUUAUUGUGCAGGAUAUUUCAAGCAUUGCAGGACAUCCAUAAAUGCCAGCUUCACUAUCUUUGUGCCAACCAGACAUCCCAACAACAGCAACUAAAUUCUGAAGCGUCUUCUGGAGCCUGAGAGCACCGGUUGAGAGUUCUGUUAUAGAUGAUGAGGGCUCCUGUGAAGGAUGAAAUCCAGUGAUCUGUGUACACAGGACAUUGAGUAAAAAGCUGCCCAUUUUCCAUGUGGGUGAUGUUGGAGACAUUUUUGCUAAAGGAUCUAAAGCUUUCUUAUGUAAUUCAUUAGUUUCCAUUUUCAUUUCCUUUCAGGUUUUAGGAGUUGCUUUCUCUUUCUACAGCAAACUACAUGUAAAAUUAAAAAGAGGGCACACAUUUUGCUAUUGGCUCAGUGGGUAGGCGGAUCACAAAGGUUUGGGAAACUGUGUGAAAAGCUGUAUAUCCAAAUACCUACUCAACAUCUUCAACCUGCUCUAAUAGACUUCUUCAAUGCCGUAUGUUCCCUUCUCCCCAAAAUGGUUCUUCUCAUAGCUUCUCCAUCUCAGUAAAUGGCUACUCCAGUCUUCCAGCUGCUCAGGCCAAGAACUUUAGGUUAUCCCAGACUCUGCUUCUUUUACUUCCCAUGUCCGGUGAGUCAUUAAAUUUUGUAGAUUGUGUCACUAAAACAGAUUUAGAAUCUGACCACAUCUCAGCACCCCCACUAUUACUAACCUGGGACAAGGCAUCAUCAUCUUUCCCUCUCCAGGAUUUGUAUGAUAACCUCCUAACUGGUUUGUCAUUCAUUCUUCAUAGUAUUCUUAACCCAGCAGCUAAAAUGAUGCUAUUAAACAUACACAGCUUACAUCAUUCUGCUCAAAACUGUCUGUGGUUCCUGUCUCACACAGAGCAAAAGUUAGUCUUGUGACGACCAUAUAAUCUGUCACCCUCCGGACAUGUCCCCAUUUUGUGACUCCUCUUGCCUCAUCUUUACUUCCUUCACCCUAGUGCAGUCACAUUGCACUGCUGGCUAUACUUCCAAACAGCAGCUAUUCUCCCUUUUCUGGGUCUCCACACUUGCUGUGUCUCCGUAUCUGGAAUGUUCUUGCCACAGAUGUGUGCACGGCCAGCUCUCUCACUUCUUACAUGUUUUUGUGGAAAAUUCAGCUUCUCAGUAAAACUUCAAAUGGUCACUUUAUGUAUAAUUUCAAACCACCCUCCCCUACAUCAGUAGGUUCUAUCCCCUCCCAUAUGCCUUAUGUUUUCUCCUUAGUAUGAUAUUACUUAUCAGUGCUUAAAAUAAUGAACAUGUUUUGCAGCCAUGAGAGCAGGGAUUUGAUCUAUUUUAUUCUCUGAGUUUCCUCUAGUAUUUAGAGCUGCUGCCAGGCUUUGGAUAGCAGUAAAUAAUAGAUAAUGGCUGAAUAAAUGAAUGAACUUUUGCAUUCUACCUUAUAUGGACUUUUAAUGAGAAUUUGUUGUGUGCACUGUAGAAUGUGGUGCUUUUUCUACUGGAACUUGCAGAAGGAAAGACAUGGUCCCUAGGCUGACAAUGACAAACAGUAUUGCACUUCAAUGGAAUGUUGCAGCAAGUAUAAUACGAGAGUUCCUGGCGAAAGGACUUAUCACCAUCUUGAGGAAUCCGAGGGAGCUGGAUUGUGGAGGAUUGUCGGAUGGAUUAUGGCAUGAUGAAAGGCAUCCAGAAGAGGGAGAUUACAAUUAAAACUGCAAAGGCACAGAGCCAGGAAGUGUUUGAUGUACAUGGGAACCACAAGCAUUUUGUGGUUCACUUAACGUAUGGUUUAUGGAAGGAAGUGGUGAAAGGUAGGGCUGGAGAAGCAAACAAGAGCUGGGACUUUGCAGACAACAUUGAGAUAGUUGGGUUUUAUCCUCCAGACUAUACGGGCCAUUGAAAGACACAAGCAGGAGAGUAGUGGUAUCAUUUACCAAUGAGAAAAUAUUUUUUCAUGUAGUUGGCAUAGCUUAUGCAUACGUAUUUGUUUAUACAAUUGGUUAAUGUCUGUCUACAUGGAUAAGCUCUUUAAAGAGAGGAGCCAUGUCAUAUAUUAUCAGUGAACAAAUAAUUAUUUGUUGAAUGAAUGAAAGAGCUAGAUGUUUCAGGAACGUGGGAUUGCAGUCAGUUUAGGAAGAAUUGAGAUGCAAGUAAGAAUAGUAUCAGAUUUACACUUUAGGUUGGCUGCUUGUUGAUUUUAUUGUGGUAGUUAUAGACAUCUAAAAGAAAAUAAUGACAGUAUGAGCUAGGCUAAUUGUCAAAGGGCUGGAGGAGAAAAGAAUUAGAUAAAUAUUGUGGGGCUAAAACUACCUGACCUUGGUGGAGGUUUGAAUGCGGGAAGUAAAAACAGGAUAACCACCAGAUACUUAGUAUGGGCGUCUAAACGGAUGGUGAUACCAUAAACUAAAAUAAAAUAAUGGAGACAGAGUUAGAUUUAUUUAUUUUUUGUUGCAGUAGUGAGCCAUAAAAUGACGAUGAGUUUGGUUUUGUUCAUUUGACUUUGAAAUAGCUAUAAGGCUUAUAGGUGUAUCUGACCAGUAAACAGUUGCUAUGUGAGUCAGAAGCUCAGGAGCCAGGUCUUCAGCAGAAGUAAAGACCCACCUUUAUUGGAAUAAAGUCGAAAUCAUUUGAAUGUGGAAGAGAUCACCCAAGGAGCAAACGCAAAGUGAUCCACAUCCAGAGGACUGAAGGAUGUGACCACAUGACCUGCUCACAAUGUAACACUAAUUUUUGUUAUCGAUGUGGUGAGAGAUACCGCCAGCUCCGAUUUUUUGGAGACCACACAUCAAACCUCAGUAUAUUUGGAUGCAAAUAUCGCUACCUCCCAGAGAGACCUCAUUUAAGGAGAUUAGUGCGAGGGUCAGUCUGUGCUGGAAAAUUAUUCAUUGCACCUCUAAUUAUGGUUUUGGGAUUGGCACUAGGGGCCAUAGCAGUUGUAAUCGGUUUAUUUGUAUUUCCAAUCUAUUGCCUUUGUAAAAAACAGAGGAAACGAUCACGGACAGGUAUGCACUGGUAAAAUGCAGAUGAUUUCAUCCAACUAAGCUGGUUUGAGUAGUAGCGUUAUAGAAUGGUACACCCAUCUGUGAGUCACAUCUUGAAAAAUACUGAGAGGAACAUUCUACCAUCUCAUCUCCCAGUGAUUCUCCGUGGGCCACAAUGCCUCUAGCUAUGGUGCACUCCCAACAUGGUAUCCUGUCCUUUCCCUAAACAAAUUGCUGCUGCUUUUAAAAAAUGGUCACUUUCAUAAACUAUAAACAUCUGUAUCAUAACUCUGCCCUUUGUGGUUCUUGGAAGAAGAUACUUUAAGAAGAAUUAUCCUCAGAAUUCUUCUGAGCACGCCUCUUCUGAGAAUUGCUUGGACUGUCUUUGAACUCUGCGCCUCCUUCCAGGCCAUCUUGUGAGACUUGGUGUGAAUAGCUGAAAUCCCAUCUGUACCAACAAGCAAGGCCACUUUUCAGAAGAUAAGAGUUCACUGAAUGCACCUAUUAUAAUCUGUGGCCCAAGCAGUAUAAUUCCUUUAUCCAUCAAAUGUUAUAAUUGCUAAAAGUCUCAAUGUCCAAAAGGGAAUGAAUGAAACUAAAUUAAUGAGAAGAAUACUAAGUUACUGAAGUGUAUAUGUGUAGGGGUGUGAAUGUGUGUGUAUAUAUAAAUAUGUAUUAAAACUAGGCCUAAUAACCUUGUAUUUAUCCAGUUCCAUGCCGCUACACUAUUUUUCCACAUUUUCAUAGACCUAUUGAAAGAUGAUGGUUCCUUUGUGGACGUAAUUUGGCAAUGUAUUGAAUUAAAGUCAAUGUAGACAACAGGCUAUUUCGAUGCUGACCUUUUCUAUUUAUUGCUCUUUCUUUUGUCACACACACACAGAAAUUUGUGCAAUGUCACCUCAAGGAGUAUUAAGCUUUGUAAACUGACAAAACUGGCUGCUUUUAGGAAAUUUUCAAGACCCAAAUAUUCAGUCUUUUUAAAAUGUUAUUUUGGAAUAGAUGCUUCACUCUAUAGAUAGAUCCUUCACAUGGGGAUUAUUUAAUCCAAAAAAACAAGUUUGCUAUAAAGAACUGCUUAAGCCUUUUUAAAAAAUCCUAUUCUGCUAAUUUUUUCUGCUUUUAGGAAAUUCUCAAGACCCGAAUAUUCAGUCUUUUAAAAAUGUAUUUUGGAAUAGAUGCUUCACUCUAUAGAUAGAUCCUUCACAUGGGAAUUAUUUAAUCCAAAAAACAAGUUUGCUAUAGAGAACUGCUUAAGCCUUUUUAAAAAAAUCCUAUUCGGCUAAUUUUUCACCCAACUUAUAAUUAUAGAUAAUUCUGCUUUAGGUCAAGGUCUUAUAUCAUUUAAUAUCCUAACCCUAUUCUCUCUUGUCUCCUCCUCUUUUUUAUUUGUUCCCAAGGUUUUUCAUAAAAAACAAUACAAGUUUUGAAGGAUUUUUUCUUAUGUUUAACUGCUCAAACGUACACUUUUUUGGUGUCCUCUUAUGAAGGAGUUAGUUUGAAAACUUUUAUGUUCAUCAGUUUAUCCAAAAUAUCAACUCCUUUUAGAGAAGGAAACAAAAAAGUGAAGGAAAUAUUUUCAGCAAGUAUUUUUCAACCCACGAAAGCUUUAAAAAUAAGAAAUAGACAAGUAACUAGACUAUGAUAUGCCUUUGUUUUCAUCACAGAAGUUAAUCAGCAGACAGGAAAAAAAAAAGACUCCUAAAAAGCCUAAAGCUCCUAAUUGUCUCAAAAUUCUUAAAAUUAGCCAUUUGUCUUAGAUGUACAUUUAUUUGUUAACAACCCUGUCUGAUUUGAAAUAGAUGAUAUGAUAAAACAUGCAUUAACAUGAGUAAUCUAUUUUUGUUGGCCUCCAGAGUGUAAGAAAAUUUAUUUUUGUUUUACAUAAAGUAAAGUUUACCUGCUUGAAUAACAAGCUAGCAUGCUUUCACUCUUUCUAAAUAACAUGGAAUAUCUGUACUACAGCUUCUGGAAGUUGUCUAUUUCCAGUUAGAAGAGUGUGUGACAUUUAUCGUGAAUAGCAUCUUUCUAAAGCAUAAUAUUAUACAAGAAAAAAGUGAUGCCCUGGUUUCACAAAUUUAUCUUUUAAUUCACCCAUCCAUCCAUUUGGCAGAUAUUUACUGAGUGCCUGUUUUAGGUGUUCUAGUAUUAAGACUGAAAAAAGGAGAAUUUCUAGCCUGUCAUAAAUGUACUUAGGUUUUGUAAAUUCAUCUUUCCUGAACUUAGGCAUUAGUUUGGCAUUAUGUGAAUAUGAUGAACUCUAAACCUAGCUGAUCUGUUUAUGUAUGAUGUAUAUAUAUGUAUGGUAUAUAUGAAAUAUUCCCAUAACUGCAUAUGAACACAUAUGCCAUAUACGUAUGUACCAACUGGCUGAAUAACAUACUCUUUGGUCUUGGAUAAUCUAUAUUCUAGGUUAUGUGUCUGUUAUCUUUGGCCUACUCAGGGAUUUUUAUUUCUUUUUUUAAAUAACUUAUCUUCUGGACAUAUUUUUAUAUUAUUUGGAAAACUUUCCAAUAUUCCAUUUACAACGUGAUUUUCAGUGAAGGCUAUUUCAUCAAUGCUUGAAAUAGUGUGCACUGUGUUGCACAGGUUUUUCAUUUUUCUAUUGAGUAGAUAUUUUUAAAUUAACAUAUGCAUUUUUAUAUUAGGUGAUAUAUAUUAGGCCUUUCCCUGCUGGUAACUUAAAAUGAUUAUUUGUGAAUUUUUUACUAAGUUUCAUCAAGAUCUUAAAAAGAGAGAAGAAAAUUAGAAGUAUUAUUCAUAUGUCAGUGCCAACUUUGAAGGUAAAACAAUAGUAGUAACUUUUGGGAGAAAUUCUAAAAACUACUUUAAAAAAGAAGCGUGCACAUAAAAUAAAUGUCUUUCUAUCCAAGGCUUGUCAUUUUUAUAUGCUUUUAUUGUAAAUUUAAUAUAUAGUACUUUAAAAAAUUAAACCAUACAGAAUUUAUAAAAUACAAUUUUCUCUGCUCACCCCACCCCUUGUUUUCUAGGGGUAACCACUGUUAAUGGUUUAGUAUGUGUCCUUGCAGGCACUUUCUACAAAUAUACAAAUAAGUGUGUUUGUGUAUGUGUCUGUGUGUUUAUUCAUUUUAUACAAAUAGAAAAAUAUUCUUAC
This is an RNA transcript of Cebus imitator (Panamanian white-faced capuchin), 6214 nucleotides long. RefSeq lists it as uncharacterized. NCBI's taxonomy places the organism in Eukaryota, Metazoa, Chordata, Mammalia, Primates, Cebidae. The transcript is spliced from 4 exons. The record is from RefSeq and is a predicted model, not a curated record.